CCUACGGGAGGCAGCAGUGAGGAAUAUUGGUCAAUGGGCGUAAGCCUGAACCAGCCAAGUCGCGUGAGGGAUGAAGGUUCUAUGGAUCGUAAACCUCUUUUAUAAGGAAAUAAAGUGCGGGACGUGUCCCGUUUUGUAUGUACCUUAUGAAUAAGGAUCGGCUAACUCCGUGCCAGCAGCCGCGGUAAUACGGAGGAUCCGAGCGUUAUCCGGAUUUAUUGGGUUUAAAGGGUGCGUAGGCUGACUUUUAAGUCAGGGGUGAAAUUCUGUGGCUCAACCAGAGAAUUGCCGUGGAAACUGGGAGGCUUGAGUAUGUGAGAGGAUGGCGGAAUGCGUGGUGUAGCGGUGAAAUGCUUAGAUAUCACGCAGAACCCCGAUUGCGAAGGCAACCAGCCAGGCCAUAACUGACGCUGAUGCACGAAAGCGUGGGGAUCAAACAGGAUUAGAUACCCUUGUAGUC
This 460-nucleotide ribosomal RNA is filed under the name uncultured bacterium. Its description in RNAcentral is "partial 16S ribosomal RNA". It matches the Rfam family "Bacterial small subunit ribosomal RNA", at positions 338 to 795 of the family's 1533-position model. The record is from RNAcentral.